GACAGAGGGGGCAAGCGUUGCUCGGAAUCACUGGGCGUAAAGGGCGCGUAGGCGGGUGGGUAAGUCGGUCGUGAAAUCUCCGGGCUCAACCCGGAGGGGACGGCCGAGACUGUACAUCUUGAGGGGAGCAGAGGAGUCUGGAAUUCCCGGUGUAGCGGUGAAAUGUGUAGAGAUCGGGAGGAACACCGGUGGCGAAGGCGGGGCUCUGGGCUCGACCUGACGCUGAGGCGCGAAAGCGUGGGGAGCAAACGGG
RNAcentral lists this ribosomal RNA (253 nucleotides) under uncultured bacterium. RNAcentral's name for it is "partial 16S ribosomal RNA". It matches the Rfam family "Bacterial small subunit ribosomal RNA", at positions 524 to 776 of the family's 1533-position model. The record is from RNAcentral.